RNAcentral lists this ribosomal RNA (446 nucleotides) under uncultured bacterium. Its description in RNAcentral is "partial 16S ribosomal RNA". It matches the Rfam family "Bacterial small subunit ribosomal RNA", at positions 338 to 795 of the family's 1533-position model. The record is from RNAcentral.
CCUACGGGUGGCAGCAGUCGAGAAUCAUUCACAAUGGGGGAAACCCUGAUGGUGCGACGCCGCGUGGGGGAAUGAAGGUCUUCGGAUUGUAAACCCCUGUCAUGUGGGAGCAAAUUAAAAAGAUAGUACCACAAGAGGAAGAGACGGCUAACUCUGUGCCAGCAGCCGCGGUAAUACAGAGGUCUCAAGCGUUGUUCGGAACCACGGGGCGUAAAGGGUGCGUAGGCUGUUUCGUAAGCCGUGUGUGAAAGGCGCGGGCUCAACCCGCGGACGGAACAUGAUACUGCGAGACUAGAGUAAUGGAGGGGGAACCGGAAUUCUCGGUGUAGCAGUGAAAUGCGUAGAUAUCGAGAGGAACACUCGUGGCGAAGGCGGGUUCCUGGACAUUAACUGACGCUGAGGCACGAAGGCCAGGGGAGCGAAAGGGAUUAGAUACCCUUGUAGUC